This 301-nucleotide ribosomal RNA is filed under the name uncultured bacterium. Its description in RNAcentral is "partial 16S ribosomal RNA". It matches the Rfam family "Bacterial small subunit ribosomal RNA", at positions 509 to 808 of the family's 1533-position model. The record is from RNAcentral.
CAGCCGCCGCGGUAAUACGAACCGUCCGAACGUUAUUCGGAACUACUGGGCUUAAAGCGCGUGUAGGCGGCUAGGUAAGUUAGAGGUGAAAGCCCAGGGCUCAACCCUGGAAUUGCCUUUAAGACUGCCGAGCUAGUAGGUGAGAGAGGUGAGUGGAAUUCCGAGUGUAGAGGUGAAAUUCGUAGAUAUUCGGAAGAACACCAGUGGCGAAGGCGGCUCACUGGCUCAUUCUAGACGCUGAGGUGCGAAAGCGUGGUAGCAAAUGGGAUUAGAUACCCGAGUAGUCCCUGUCUCUUAUACA